GAUGAACGCUGACAGAAUGCUUAACACAUGCAAGUCUUUGGCGAAGCUGUGCUUGCACAGCCUAGCCAAGGCGGACGGGUGAGUAACGCGUAAGGAACUUGCCCUGCAGUCAGGGAUAACAGACGGAAACGACUGAUAAGACCUGGUAAAGUCAGGCGGACUCAUGUCCAGCCUGAUGAAAAGAGAUGCUGCAGGAGAGCCUUGCGUCCUAUUAGCUUGUUGGUGGGGUAACGGCCCACCAAGGCGAUGAUAGGUAGCCGGCCUGAGAGGGUGGACGGCCACAAGGGGACUGAGAUACGGCCCUUACUCCUACGGGAGGCAGCAGUGGGGAAUAUUGGACAAUGGGGGCAACCCUGAUCCAGCAAUUCUGUAUGCACGAUGAAGGUUUUCGGAUUGUAAAGUGCUUUCAGCAGGGAAGAAAAAAAUGACGGUACCUGCAGAAGAAGCGACGGCUAAAUACGUG
RNAcentral lists this ribosomal RNA (463 nucleotides) under uncultured bacterium. RNAcentral describes it as "partial 16S ribosomal RNA". It matches the Rfam family "Bacterial small subunit ribosomal RNA", at positions 28 to 507 of the family's 1533-position model. The record is from RNAcentral.